Molecule: long non-coding RNA, 554 nt
Organism: Rana temporaria (common frog)
Lineage: Eukaryota; Metazoa; Chordata; Amphibia; Anura; Ranidae
Exons: 3
Source: RefSeq, a predicted model, not a curated record
UAGUAUGUAAUUAUAGUGUUUAUUAUGAAGCCUUUUCAUAUGGCAAAUUUUAUGCAGCACACAUUUCUUUUUACUAACUUUAUUUUGGAUUGAGAUUAUAUUAUAUAUCCUUUGGCUUUUUGCAGUUAGGAGAGGACCCUUGCGGAUACUUUGCCAUCUGUUGUCCUCACAUUGCCUCUACAAUUGUGCGCUUUUUUGGCCCUUUGAAUUGUUCCAUUCACGCCCAGGUUAUUAUACUUUUUACAAGAUACCCCGACUAGUUCUAAUUUGCCCAGUGGUGUAUGGUGAAUGUGGGUAUGACCUAUAAUACCAGACUCCACCUUAUAAGGUAAAUGGUCUGAUUACAAUUUGCAUCUUGGACGCUGUUGAGCAUUCUUCAAAUCUACUAAGCACCGUUUAUCGAAGCUCCCGAAGAAGCGACGACGUCGCGAAACAUGUCGAGCUGAACCCCAUUUUAAUCAGAACUCAUCCUGUACCAUCUUUCGAAGUUACAACGCCACCCAGCGCCUAUAGUGUAUUCUAUACAUCCAGCCCUGUGGCUAAUAGCGGUGUCU